UCCUCUUGCUCCAGCAACCUCUCCUCUUGC
This 30-nucleotide non-coding RNA is filed under the name Homo sapiens (human). The record is from RNAcentral. Lineage: Eukaryota; Metazoa; Chordata; Mammalia; Primates; Hominidae.